Molecule: ribosomal RNA, 1378 nt
Filed under: Klebsiella pneumoniae
Lineage: Bacteria; Pseudomonadati; Pseudomonadota; Gammaproteobacteria; Enterobacterales; Enterobacteriaceae
Description: bacterial LSU rRNA
Rfam family: Bacterial large subunit ribosomal RNA
Source: RNAcentral
CCGGCGAUGUCCGAAUGGGGAAACCCAGUGCAAUUCGUUGCACUAUCGUUAACUGAAUACAUAGGUUAACGAGGCGAACCGGGGGAACUGAAACAUCUAAGUACCCCGAGGAAAAGAAAUCAACCGAGAUUCCCCCAGUAGCGGCGAGCGAACGGGGAGCAGCCCAGAGUCUGAAUCAGCUUGUGUGUUAGUGGAACGGUCUGGAAAGUCCGACGGUACAGGGUGAUAGUCCCGUACACCAAAAUGCACAGGCUGUGAACUCGAAGAGUAGGGCGGGACACGUGGUAUCCUGUCUGAAUAUGGGGGGACCAUCCUCCAAGGCUAAAUACUCCUGACUGACCGAUAGUGAACCAGUACCGUGAGGGAAAGGCGAAAAGAACCCCGGCGAGGGGAGUGAAAAAGAACCUGAAACCGUGUACGUACAAGCAGUGGGAGCACCUUCGGGUGUGACUGCGUACCUUUUGUAUAAUGGGUCAGCGACUUAUAUUCUGUAGCAAGGUUAACCGUAUAGGGGAGCCGCAGGGAAACCGAGUCUUAACUGGGCGUUAAGUUGCAGGGUAUAGACCCGAAACCCGGUGAUCUAGCCAUGGGCAGGUUGAAGGUUGGGUAACACUAACUGGAGGACCGAACCGACUAAUGUUGAAAAAUUAGCGGAUGACUUGUGGCUGGGGGUGAAAGGCCAAUCAAACCGGGAGAUAGCUGGUUCUCCCCGAAAGCUAUUUAGGUAGCGCCUCGUGAACUCAUCUUCGGGGGUAGAGCACUGUUUCGGCUAGGGGGUCAUCCCGACUUACCAACCCGAUGCAAACUACGAAUACCGAAGAAUGUUAUCACGGGAGACACACGGCGGGUGCUAACGUCCGUCGUGAAGAGGGAAACAACCCAGACCGCCAGCUAAGGUCCCAAAGUCAUGGUUAAGUGGGAAACGAUGUGGGAAGGCACAGACAGCCAGGAUGUUGGCUUAGAAGCAGCCAUCAUUUAAAGAAAGCGUAAUAGCUCACUGGUCGAGUCGGCCUGCGCGGAAGAUGUAACGGGGCUAAACCAUGCACCGAAGCUGCGGCAGCGACACUAUGUGUUGUUGGGUAGGGGAGCGUUCUGUAAGCCUGCGAAGGUGGCCUGUGAGGGUUGCUGGAGGUAUCAGAAGUGCGAAUGCUGACAUAAGUAACGAUAAAGCGGGUGAAAAGCCCGCUCGCCGGAAGACCAAGGGUUCCUGUCCAACGUUAAUCGGGGCAGGGUGAGUCGACCCCUAAGGCGAGGCCGAAAGGCGUAGUCGAUGGGAAACAGGUUAAUAUUCCUGUACUUGGUGUUACUGCGAAGGGGGGACGGAGAAGGCUAUGUUAGCCGGGCGACGGUUGUCCCGGUUUAAGCAUGUAGGCUGGUU